Molecule: ribosomal RNA, 405 nt
Filed under: uncultured Leptotrichia sp.
Lineage: Bacteria; Fusobacteriati; Fusobacteriota; Fusobacteriia; Fusobacteriales; Leptotrichiaceae
Description: bacterial SSU rRNA
Rfam family: Bacterial small subunit ribosomal RNA
Source: RNAcentral
UGGGGAAUAUUGGACAAUGGGGGCAACCCUGAUCCAGCAAUUCUGUGUGCACGAAGAAGGUUUUCGGAUUGUAAAGUGCUUUCAGCAGGGAAGAAGAAAGUGACGGUACCUGCAGAAGAAGCGACGGCUAAAUACGUGCCAGCAGCCGCGGUAAUACGUAUGUCGCAAGCGUUAUCCGGAAUUAUUGGGCAUAAAGGGCAUCUAGGCGGCCCUGUAAGUCUAGGGUGAAAACCUGCGGCUCAACCGCAGGCCUGCCCCGGAAACUACAGGGCUAGAGUAUCGGAGAGGUGGACGGAACUGCACGAGUAGAGGUGAAAUUCGUAGAUAUGUGCAGGAAUGCCGAUGAUGAAGAUAGUUCACUGGACGGUAACUGACGCUGAAGUGCGAAAGCUAGGGGAGCAAACA